Molecule: long non-coding RNA, 291 nt
Filed under: Elaeis guineensis (African oil palm)
Lineage: Eukaryota; Viridiplantae; Streptophyta; Magnoliopsida; Arecales; Arecaceae
Description: long non-coding RNA (EGUI_LNC029530)
Source: RNAcentral
UAGGUUGGUUAAGCCACACUCGGGCUUAGAUAUUCGUUUGUUGGAUGCACUUGGUGUAGUCAUAUUAAUGGUUGGAUCUAAUCAAAAUUUUCAGUGGAGGUGCCACACGCCUGCUGAAGAGAUGUCUAGGGCAAAACCUAAUUGCUAAAAAUUAUUUGAUGAAAAAAUUAGCUAAGAACUUACCUAUGGAUGCACUAGGAUUGAUCGAGCCACAUUUGAGCCCAAAUACAGUCUGUGUAGAUUCUAGUACCUACUAAGAGAUUAAUGUAAUUCUUCGAAUUAGAAGUAGAG